Molecule: long non-coding RNA, 1036 nt
Filed under: Chinchilla lanigera (long-tailed chinchilla)
Lineage: Eukaryota; Metazoa; Chordata; Mammalia; Rodentia; Chinchillidae
Description: lncRNA (ENSCLAG00000027580.1)
Source: RNAcentral
GGAAUAUUGGACUCAUAGCUUUCCAGGGGAGCAGGAUACAGCCCCUGGGACAACUGGCUCAGUCCAGCAGUAAGGUGCAGCAGGACCUGAAGCAUGCCCAGGGAAAAGUGGUUCCCAUAGCAACUGAAAGUCUUGAGCUGGGUGCAGCGGCUCAGGGCAGGCAAGAUGGCAAGGAGCUGGGAGUCUGUGAUGUCACAGUGUUCUAGGACCAGGGUCUCCAGGGUGCUGGCCACAUUGUCUAUCAAUCCCUGGAGAGUCUCAGGUUUGAAUGAUUUCAUUGAAAUCCUCCUCAGAGUCAAGGACUUGAGCUGGCUUGUGCUUGCACACUGGGACAGAUGCUGCAGAUUUCCAUGCAGGAAGAAGACUUCAUCCAUCUGAAGCUCAUGGAGAUUUUUCAGCUGUGCUAAAUUUGAGGCAUAGAUGCGGGAAUACCACUUCCUUUUCCAGGGUGCAGUACACACUUCUGGACUCAGGCUUCUGAAGUGAAAUGUGUGAAGGUUUUUCAUCUUCCUUAGCUGAGGAACAAAUGCUUUCAUUCUCUCUGGACCCCAGUAACUAAGCACCUCCACCUCACGGAUAGAAUCCAGUUGCACAGCUUGCAGAAGCUUCAGGAUUUUGAAGACAGCACUGGAGUUGAUCAUCACCUUCUCACAGUGCAGGUGCACUGAAGCUUUUCUCCUUCGGGCCCACUUCAAGAGGCAGAGCUGUAACUGAUCAUUGGUGGCACAAAACAGACUCCAGGCUUCAAAACAAAGGUUUGCGAAUAUUCUCAAGGUUGGGUUCUCCUCACUUAACCCAGGCCUGUCCAGUUCCUUAUCCCUGGCAUCGACUGAGUAGGCAGCACUCACGGCUCUGGGUCCUACAGUCCAGAAGUCCUGGUGUACAUCCCUCCAGUCCAGCACCUGCAGUUUCCACCUGCUGUGUGUAAGACAGAAAGCAACCUCAGAAUUGAGAUAAAGACCCAACUUUCUACCUGUUCUUCUCUUGCAUUUUCUGUACAUCUGCCAUUCCCCUACCUUCCUGCCUUCCCUUUUCU